This 849-nucleotide long non-coding RNA is filed under the name Brassica napus (rape). RNAcentral's name for it is "long non-coding RNA (BNAP_LNC009528)". The record is from RNAcentral. Lineage: Eukaryota; Viridiplantae; Streptophyta; Magnoliopsida; Brassicales; Brassicaceae.
UGGUUUUGUUUUUUGAUCUGUAAAAUAGUUUCUUCGCAAAGCGACUGUCAGUAUUUCCGUUUAGCGGAUUAAACUUUCGCGAUGGCGAAUUUUGGAGUGCUUCUUCAAUCAAUCUUCGAAUAGAGUUUCAUUCUAAUCUUCUUUGGAUUGAUGAUUGAAGACAAUAAACUCCGAUUAGUUUUGAUCGGUAGUAGGGAAUCAUGUUGUUUUCCUUCAGCUUUGUAUUAUAUCCCGGAGACAAUUGAAAGGACAUCGUUUGGUUCUCCGUUCACCUAAUCAAUUCAUAGGAGAAUCAGUCUUUCUUCGUUGGUGUAGCCAGAUUGGCUUUGAAGAAAGCAUCUCUGACCGGGAGUUGAACGGGUUUGAAGGAUCUCUGUUGUCAUUUAUGGGGUGGAUCAAGAAGAAUCGGCGUCUAUGGCGGUCCGAUAAAUGGUCUUUUUCCAAUCUGAAAAAAUUUCCUCCGCUUAAAUUCCGGCGAAUCAAAUUGUUUCCAGUCAAGUAGUCUCGGUGAAGAUGGAAGGCAACCUCAAGUGAAGAUCAACAAGCCCAAAUGAUGCAGAUCGUAUUAAGCAAAGUUCACUGGUGAAGCAGAUCCCCUUUUUCGCACGGCGGCGCGUUUCAGGCGCGUGAAUCACGUUCAACUGCAUGCAGAAGCUUUGACACGUGUAUUGCUUCUUUCUUUUGUCUGACGCCUGGGCUGCAGAGUCACCCGUUGGAUGAAAGCAAAUUAUGUUAUAUUUGGGCUUUCUUGGGCUUAAUUGUAUAUUCGGGUAUGUAAUGGGGAUGGGUUGUUUGAUUGUAAGCUUGUAAUUGCCCAGUUGGGCUUAUAAAUGAAAUGCAAAAGUCGAC